GACGAGGGGUCCUAGCGUUGUUCGGAAUUAUUGGGCGUAAAGGGCGCGUAGCGGUGCCACAAGUCACUUGUGAAAUCCCCGGGCUUAACUCGGGGCCUGCAGGCGAAACGUGUGGGUGCUGGGAGUAUGGGAGAGGUGCGUGGAAUUCCCGGUGUAGCGGUGAAAUGCGUAGAUAGUCGGGACGGAACACCUGGUGGCGAAAGCGGCGCACUGGAACCAUGAACUGACGCUGGAGGCGCGAAAGCUAGGGGAGCAAACAGG
RNAcentral lists this ribosomal RNA (261 nucleotides) under uncultured bacterium. RNAcentral describes it as "partial 16S ribosomal RNA". It matches the Rfam family "Bacterial small subunit ribosomal RNA", at positions 524 to 776 of the family's 1533-position model. The record is from RNAcentral.